UACGUAGGCAGCAAGCGUUGUUCGGAGUUACUGGGCGUAAAGGGCGCGUAGGCGGCCUUCUAAGUCGAACGUGAAAUCCCUGGGCUCAACCCAGGAACUGCGUCCGAUACUGGAAGGCUUGAAUCCGGGAGAGGGAUGCGGAAUUCCAGGUGUAGCGGUGAAAUGCGUAGAUAUCUGGAGGAACACCGGUGGCGAAGGCGGCAUCCUGGACCGGUAUUGACGCUGAGGCGCGAAAGCCAGGGUAGCAAACGGG
This 253-nucleotide ribosomal RNA is filed under the name uncultured bacterium. RNAcentral's name for it is "partial 16S ribosomal RNA". It matches the Rfam family "Bacterial small subunit ribosomal RNA", at positions 524 to 776 of the family's 1533-position model. The record is from RNAcentral.